CCUACGGGAGGCAGCAGUGGGGAAUUUUGGACAAUGGGCGCAAGCCUGAUCCAGCAAUGCCGCGUGAGUGAAGAAGGCCUUCGGGUUGUAAAGCUCUUUUGUCAGGGAAGAAACGGUGGGAGCUAAUAUCUCCUGCUAAUGACGGUACCUGAAGAAUAAGCACCGGCUAACUACGUGCCAGCAGCCGCGGUAAUACGUAGGGUGCAAGCGUUAAUCGGAAUUACUGGGCGUAAAGCGUGCGCAGGCGGUUUUGUAAGACUGUCGUGAAAUCCCCGGGCUCAACCUGGGAAUGGCGAUGGUGACUGCAAGGCUAGAGUUUGGCAGAGGGGGGUAGAAUUCCACGUGUAGCAGUGAAAUGCGUAGAUAUGUGGAGGAACACCGAUGGCGAAGGCAGCCCCCUGGGUCAAAACUGACGCUCAUGCACGAAAGCGUGGGGAGCAAACAGGAUUAGAUACCCUGGUAGUCCACGCCCUAAACGAUGUCUACUAGUUGUCGGGUCUUAAUUGAUUGUACGCAGCUACGCGUGAGUAGACCGCCGUCGGGAGGUACGGUCGCGAGAGUAAACGUUAACUAAGAGUAGUAACGUACGUGAGACGUGACCGACGGACGACGACGAGGGAGGUUAGG
RNAcentral lists this ribosomal RNA (627 nucleotides) under uncultured bacterium. RNAcentral describes it as "bacterial SSU rRNA". The stretch from base 1 to 537 matches the Rfam family "Bacterial small subunit ribosomal RNA", at positions 338 to 873 of the family's 1533-position model. The record is from RNAcentral.